This 227-nucleotide ribosomal RNA is filed under the name Bacillus thuringiensis. RNAcentral describes it as "partial 16S ribosomal RNA". It matches the Rfam family "Bacterial small subunit ribosomal RNA", at positions 507 to 732 of the family's 1533-position model. Lineage: Bacteria; Bacillati; Bacillota; Bacilli; Caryophanales; Bacillaceae. The record is from RNAcentral.
UCCAGCAGCCCCCGGUAAUACGUAGGUGGCAAGCGUUAUCCGGAAUUAUUGGGCGUAAAGCGCGCGCAGGUGGUUUCUUAAGUCUGAUGUGAAAGCCCACGGCUCAACCGUGGAGGGUCAUUGGAAACUGGGAGACUUGAGUGCAGAAGAGGAAAGUGGAAUUCCAUGUGUAGCGGUGAAAUGCGUAGAGAUAUGGAGGAACACCAGUGGCGAAGGCGACUUUCUGG